RNAcentral lists this unclassified non-coding RNA (301 nucleotides) under Hevea brasiliensis (rubber tree). The record is from RNAcentral. Lineage: Eukaryota; Viridiplantae; Streptophyta; Magnoliopsida; Malpighiales; Euphorbiaceae.
UUGACAAUCGUUCACUCUCCUUGCAUAACGAGUCAGGCAGGGCCAGUACCCAAAUAAACCUUCACAAAGAUCCAUUGCUUCCAACCCAUACCCAGAUGGAAUUUCAGGCACUGACACUUUUUUCUCAUACUCAUAUAUGUUGCCAUACCCAGACCAAGGAGAGUGAUCAUCACCAUACUUUUCCUUGCUUUCCUCUCCAGGAUACAAGUCUAAAGGCUCCCUCUGAGAAUUGCCAUGGUCAUGGUCAUAUUCACGUAGCUGCUGCUGCUCUGUCUCGUUGAUGGCGGGUGGUUGUGGUUGG